UCUAGCAGAAAUACUUUAAAAUCACCAGAUCCCGUCUGAUCCUGGGAGCUAAGCAGGGCCAGCUCUAGUUAGUACUUCAUGGGAGACCACUGAGGAAUAAUAGGUUCUGCAGGAG
RNAcentral lists this ribosomal RNA (115 nucleotides) under Anolis carolinensis (green anole). The record is from RNAcentral. Lineage: Eukaryota; Metazoa; Chordata; Lepidosauria; Squamata; Anolidae.